This 1182-nucleotide long non-coding RNA is filed under the name Olea europaea subsp. europaea. The record is from RNAcentral. Lineage: Eukaryota; Viridiplantae; Streptophyta; Magnoliopsida; Lamiales; Oleaceae.
GAAUACCCUUUCAUGAAUUUUUCAUGCAUUUAGAAAAAAUCCCAAUGUAAAAGUACAUAAUUCAGAUUUUUAUCUCUUACAUUUUGACAAGUUGUAUAGAUUAGAAGGUCCGGUGUUCUGUGCAACCUUAUAGACAAAACUUGGGUGCUGAUAAGUUUAAAUUAUAUGUAACAAGUGUUAGCUACCAAAAAAAAAAAUUAUGGGAGGCUGUGAUUUAUUUAGCUGUAGAUUUUUCGCAAUUGAUUAAGUUUGGGAGAGUUUAAAAUUGGGAGGAAGCAAAAUUAGCAACUUGGAUAAUUUAACUCAAAAUAGUCAAAUAAUACUCUAUUCAUUUCACAUCACCUGUGGGGGGAUAAAAUCCUGGUCUUGCCUUUUGAAAUUGCUAUCAAGUUGUGUGAAUUAUUCCCCCAAUCACUUUCUACUUGGAGUUAAAUGUUUGGAGAUACAUAGACAAAAAAUGCCAUUUGUUUGCUUUUAAAAAAAAUAAAAUCAGCAAGUUGCAUUUUGAAGAUGGUAGUUUGUUUCAAUUUCCCUACUAUCUGCCAAAUUCCCUCACUGCUUUAAGUUCCCUGCCUCUAUUUUCAUGCUUUCAGAUUCAUUACUAUCUCGGCAUAGCAUGUUGUAAGUGCUAAUUUGAAAUCUUAUUUAGAUGGACCUUAUUCUACAUUUAGUUUGGUGCCAAUUGACACAAAAAAUAAAUAAAUAAAUAAAAUCUUGUGGGAAAGAUUUCAAUUAAUAUAAAUUUCGAGGAAUAUGGACCACCGUGGUUAAGUACAGAGCAUUUGAAUGAGAUAAUUGAUAAACAUCAGAGCAGUGAAAGAUGGAAGAAGAAAUAUAAACUUGGCCGUGAUAACCGACUCAUUGUAAAGUCAAGAACCAUUACUAAGCACACUGCUGGCUCAAUGACAAUUGUUGCCCACGAGCUAAGGCUGGAAGUGUUUAAUUUUAUGAAUUAAUUUCAUAGAUGAUUGACAUGCUGUGAGUUAUCUUAUUCUAUCUGUUAAAAGAGUUAUUAUUCUGUCCAUUUAUUUUACAAUUCCAUUUGUUAGAUGUGUGCAUAUGAUCAUUUCGAAAUGAAACUAAAAUAAGGACUGAAUAUGAGAAAAAUCGGCAUGUUCUGUCUAGUUGAAAUCGAAACCAAAACCAAUUUCAUGUUGUAUUCAUUUAGAGUGUGUUUGAUUA